GCAUUUCCAGGCACUUCAUCAGGAGCUGCUCAAAUUCAGGGCCCUCUUAAAAAUACCCCUGCCAAGCCGAAUUCACUCAGUCAGAAGGAGGUCAUUUAAAGGCCGUAAACUGUUUCAUGGAGAACACAUCCCAACGUUACCACGAAGACCCGAUGCCCUCGUCAAGGAGGAACAGCUCAUUAGCAGAAAACUGCAACUUGAGGACUAUCUGAGGAAUAUAUUGAAAAGGCAUUUAUA
This is a long non-coding RNA of Carassius auratus (goldfish), 237 nucleotides long. RefSeq lists it as uncharacterized. The transcript is spliced from 3 exons. Lineage: Eukaryota; Metazoa; Chordata; Actinopteri; Cypriniformes; Cyprinidae. The record is from RefSeq and is a predicted model, not a curated record.